Zea mays is the source of this 2189-nucleotide RNA transcript. It is a transcript of the gene named PLN00113 superfamily pseudogene, with no coding region annotated. The transcript has a single exon. NCBI's taxonomy places the organism in Eukaryota, Viridiplantae, Streptophyta, Magnoliopsida, Poales, Poaceae. The record is from RefSeq and is marked validated.
CCUCGCGUACAACAGCCUGCACGGGGGCAUCCCGCCGGCCAUCGCCUCCCUACGCGCGCUCUCCUACCUCGACCUCACCGGCAACUGGCUCCACGGCCACGUACCGCCGGAGGUCGGCGGCAUGCGGCGCCUCGUCCACCUCGACCUGUCUUUCAACAACCUCACGGGGCGUGUCCCCGCGUCGCUUGGGAACCUGACGGCGCUGGUCUUCCUCAACCUCCAGACGAACAUGUUGUCCGGCCCGAUCCCUGGCGAGCUCGGGAUGCUGGCCAACCUAGAGGUUUUGGAUCUCAGCACGGCAUCGUUGAGUGGGGAGAUACCUGGAAGCAUCGGCAACCUGACCAAACUGGCCGUCCUGCUGCUUUUCACCAACCAGCUAUCGGGGCCUAUACCUCCUUCUCUAGGCAACCUCGCCAGCUUGAGUGAUCUUGAGAUCGCCCAGACCCACUUGAGCGGUGGGAUUCCAGUCGCCCUGGGGAAUCUCACUAAGCUCAACACACUCAUCCUAUCACAGAAUCAGCUCACGGGCUCGAUUCCUCAGGAGAUAGGGUUCUUGGCGAAUCUAAGCGCACUGCUUGCAGAUUCCAACCAGCUAGGAGGCCCCAUUCCCGCGAGCAUUGGGAACCUCACUAGUCUAACAUACCUUCAGCUGACCAACAACCAGCUCGUGGGCUCGAUCCCCGGUGAGAUCGGUCGCCUGGUGAACCUGCAGGUCAUGGCUCUGUCUGAAAAUCAGAUUUCAGGAUCAGUUCCUGCAUCCGUUGGGAACCUGACGAACCUCAUAGAGUUCAACAUGUUCAGCAACAGGCUGUCGGGUUCUCUGCCUCGAGAAUUUCGCAAUCUUACACUGUUAGUCGACGUCAUUUUGGGCAACAACUCUCUCUCGGGGGAGCUGCCCUCUGACAUUUGCAGAGGGGGCAACCUUUUUGAGUUCACCCUUGCAAUGAACAUGUUCACCGGUCCAAUCCCUGAAAGCCUAAAAACAUGUGCGAGCCUCGGGUAUCUUAACAUUGGUUCUAACUAGCUGACAGGGGACAUAUCAGAUUUGGGGCCGUACCCACAGCUUGUCGAAGCAGACUUUGGAAGGAACAGGCUCCAUGGGUAUUUGUCCAAGACCUGGGCUUCAAGUGUCAAUCUAACCACACUGAAUAUGGCAGAAAACAUGAUAUCUGGAACCUUGCCACCUGAGCUUUCAAACCUAGAAAAGUUGGAGUUGCUCCUACUGCACACCAACAAACUAACAGGCGAGAUACCGCCAGAACUAGCCAAUCUACCGAAUCUGUACAAACUCAAUUUAUCGCAAAACCUGUUUUCAGGCAAUAUACCACCUGAAUUUGGUCGGAUGAAAAAUCUGCAGUUUCUCGAUGUAUCAAUGAAUAGUUUGAAUGGGUCCAUACCACAAGAGCUUGGGAAUUGCACUGGGCUACUGUCAUUGCUUGUCAACCACAAUAGUUUGAGUGGAGAACUGCCAACGACCUUGGGUAAUCUGGGGAACCUUCAGAUUCUGUUAGAUGUGAGCAACAACAAACUCACGGGCGAGCUACCCGGUCAGCUCGGGAACUUGGUGAAGUUGGAGUCCUUGAACCUCUCGCAUAAUGAAUUCAAUGGGAGUAUUCCACACUCUUUUUCCAGCAUGGUUAGUUUGUCAACACUUGAUGUGUCAUACAAUAACUUGGAAGGGCCCCUUCCAACAGGGCCACUAUUUUCUAAUGCUUCCAUAGGAUGGUUCCUCCACAACAAUGGUCUAUGUGGUAAUCUCUCAGGGCUUCCAAAAUGCUCUUCAGCCCCAAAACUAGAGCAUCACAACAGAAAAUCCCGCGGCCUGGUGUUAAGCAUUUUGAUUCCUUUAUGCAUAGUUACUAUUAUUCUUGCAACCUUUGGAGUAAUUAUGAUUAUUCGUCACAAAAGUAAGAGGCCACAAGGGACUACAGCCACAGAUAGAAGAGAUGUGCUAUCUGUUUGGAAUUUCGAUGGGAAAAUAGCAUUUGAGGAUAUCAUUAAGGCAACAGAAAAUUUCAGUGAGAAGUACAUCGUGGGUUCAGGAGGGUAUGGCACUGUCUACAAAGCUCAACUUCAAGGGGGGAGAUUGGUUGCAGUGAAAAAGCUUCAUGAAACUCAAGAAGAUAUGAGCGACGAAAAAAGAUUCAUAAGUGAAAUCGAAGUGUUGACGAAGAUCCGGCACCGAAGUA